AGAGAUUUCAAAAGGCCUACAGAUCUCUCCUUCGUUGGGGACCCUGCCUCCUCGGCACGGCUCCCUGCAUGGGAGGACUGUCCCAUUCAAACUGCGAGGGGACAAAAGCAGCUGUCUUUCCAGGGGGUGAAAAACAAUAGCAUCAAGUCUUCCCAUAAACCUCAACAAACAUGCAAACACAGACGUGAAAAUAGGAAUUACAAACCCAAGCAGUGUGGAAAUGGGACUCAAACUCAAGACUUCCGCCUGUCUUUUUCAAGAUUCGGAGAAUGAACUCAGCACGCCUGCUGCAUCUUAAGGCAGAGAGCCAGCUCCAUGAGGACCGCGACACUGCGUCCAGGACAGUUUGCAAAGAUUGCAGCAGUGCCUAGGGCGUUCGCUGUGAUGCAAUGGAUCAACGGUGUCUCUGCAGCCACAGGAAUGCAGGUUCCAUCCUGAGCCCGGCACAGCGGGUUAAGGAUCCAGUGUUGCCCUAGCUGCAGUGUAGGUCACAACUCUGGCUUGGAUUCAGACCCCAGCCUGGGAACUCCAUAGGUGUGGGAAGGCCAAAAAAGAGGGAAAAAAAGAAAAAGUAAAAGAAAAAAAAGAUUGCAGCAGCUCUUUGAGUGACCCAAUCCUCCAAGUUUUCAAUUCACCGAAAGCUUCUCUAGACACAGUUUGGAAAGGGUGUAGCAUCAUGUUGCAGCGAGGUUAUCCAACAUUCGGUCAUUAUCAGGGCAACGUCUCAUAUCCUGGCUGACUCAUGUCGGCGGCAGUCAAGGGUUUUUACACAUGUUACUGUGAGUUUCCACCUUGCAGUUGAACAGACUUCCAAUUGGUCAAGUUCUCCUUUUCAUCUUUCAAUUUGUCUUAUUUACCUUGAUCCAGGAAUUGUUUUCUAGAGUGGAAGGGAGAGAGAGGCAGUUAAUUUUCCAGAUAAUUUGCAACAUAGGAUAAAACAAAAAAUGUGCUUCACGUUACGGAUGCCUGCACACUUCCUGAGAUGGUGUGCAAAUGGGUUCUGCCUCCAUCACAACUUCCAUUCGCUCCAAACCAAUCAUAAACCGUAAUUAAAAAGUGCAACUGAGUCACCUCAAUUCAGUUGCCAUUUGCAGAAAGAAUCCAGAUAGUUUACCUUUCAGAGUGAAAUGAAAGUGUGUUGUCUAUUUCAGAUGCCUGAGAGUUUCUCAGCGGGUCAGUGUUUUACGUGAGGAUGGCUCGGUUUUCCUCAUAUGCAAGUUAAGCUGUCCAGGAUUUGUGGACAUGAAGGCGGAGGGGAAGCUUUCGUUUGGCAAAGUGAUGCAUUGAGGCAGGGCUGUGU
RNAcentral lists this long non-coding RNA (1300 nucleotides) under Sus scrofa (pig). Its description in RNAcentral is "lncRNA (ENSSSCG00035078548.1)". Lineage: Eukaryota; Metazoa; Chordata; Mammalia; Artiodactyla; Suidae. The record is from RNAcentral.